UACCACGGCUGCGCUCGGUAAUAGCAACACGUCAUUAUAUUAUGUGCAGUGACUUAUCACGUUUGCCGUAAAAUACCUAAGUUAUAUUAUUUUUUUGAUCACCUGUAGUCUUAACAUAAUAUAAAAAUAAGUUUCAAAGAUUAUCGUCACCCCGAUAGGGGUUCCAGGAUGAGAUUUUUGAACGUUAAAGGAUAUAAUUCCACCAAGUUCCGGUGAUUAGUUACCCGGACACCGAGAAUCCGAAAUCACCUGUGACACGUCGAGUCAUAACCUCCAGCUGAGGGGCCUGCACCGGCGUCUUCAACGUCAGGGGAGUACCGAGCAACAAAGGGCGAACUAGAUCAACCAACAAUACACCCUACGACCCUUGCUCAAAUUUUAUUUUAAUUAUUGUUAAUAAACAUCAUUUAAAGGCCG
Leptidea sinapis is the source of this 417-nucleotide long non-coding RNA. RefSeq lists it as uncharacterized. NCBI's taxonomy places the organism in Eukaryota, Metazoa, Arthropoda, Insecta, Lepidoptera, Pieridae. The transcript is spliced from 2 exons. The record is from RefSeq and is a predicted model, not a curated record.